RNAcentral lists this long non-coding RNA (1181 nucleotides) under Sus scrofa (pig). Its description in RNAcentral is "lncRNA (ENSSSCG00000041641.2)". The record is from RNAcentral. Lineage: Eukaryota; Metazoa; Chordata; Mammalia; Artiodactyla; Suidae.
CUGAGUAGUAGUCCAUUGUGUAUAUAAACCACAUCUUCUUAAUUCAUUCAUCUGUGGUACUGGUACAAAAACAGACAGAAUGACCAAUGGAACAAAACAGAGAACCCGAAAUAAACCCAGACACCUAUGGUCAAUUAAUCUUCGACAAAGGAGGCAAAAAUAUAAAAUAGAAAAAGACAGUCUCCUCAACAAGUGGUACUGAGAAAACUGGACAGCUGCAUGUAAAUCAAUGAAACUUGAACACAUCCUCACACCAUACACAAAAAUAAACUCAAAAUGAUUUGAAGACUUAAACGUAAGACACCAUAAAACUCCUGGAAGAGAAAAUAGGCAAAAUAUUCUCUGAUAUCAAACUUACAGAUGUUUUCUUAGGUCAGUCAGUCUCCCAAGGCAACAGAAAUAGAAACAAAAACAAACCAAGGAAACCUAAUCAAACUGACAAGCUUCUGCACAGCAAAGGAAACCAUAAAAAAAAAAAGACAACCUAUAGAAUGGGAGAAAAUAUUUUCAAAUGAUGUAACAGACAAGGGCUUAAUCUCUAAAAUAUACAAACAACUUACACAACUCAACAAAACCAAAACCAACAACCCAAUUAAAAAAUGGGUGAAAGACUUAAAUAGCCAUUUCUCUAAAGAAGAUAUACAGAUGGCCAACAGGCACAUGAACAAAUGCUCAACAUCACUGAUUAUUAGAGAAAUGCAAAUCAAAACUUCAGUGAGGUACCACCUCACACCAGUCAGAAUAGCCAUCAUUAACAAGUCAACAAAUAGCAAAUGCUGGAGAGGGUGUGGAAAAAAGGGUACCCUCCUUCACUGUCGGUGGGAAUGUAAAUAGGUACAACCACUAGGGAAAACAUUAUGGGGGUACCUCAGAAAACUGAACUACCAUAUAAGCCAGCAAUCCCACUUCCGGGCAGAUGUUCGGACAAAACUUUCAUUGAAAAAGAUACUUGCACCCCUAUAUUCAUAGCAGCACUAUUCACAAUAGGCAAGACAUGGAAACAACCUAAAUAUCCAUCAGAUAGAAACAGACUUUCAGAAGUCAAAACACACUGGUUGCCAGUUGCAAUGAAGUUCCACCCUACGACUCUUUGCUUUGUGUGGUCCCGGUGACUUGCUAUAGCAAAGCUGAGGAGAAGUUCAGCAAAGGGGCAAGAGUGCCAGUCUUAUCUUUUCUUCCCA